GACCCUGAGGUAUAUGUUUGCGUACAGUUUUGGGGGGCGAAAAUGUGAUAUUAGAGUAAUAGUUUCUGAUCGCCCCGUCUCUCUUUUUCUCUCUCUCACUGAAGGUGAUCCAGCUCGUUUCGCCCCACCCACACACGAUCCACCACUACAUACCUCAGGCCAAGACAGCACCCAAAAGCGUUUCAUUUUUUCUUUCUUUAGCAACAAUUCCCCGCCGGUUUCUCUUCAACUCUUUGCUUUCUUGGUGUCCGUUAUUCUGAAAUGCUAGUUUUGGGGAUUUUGUUCAGGCACAAUUGGACUGGUAUAUUAUGAAGACAAUAAUUCCUGAGGGCAAGAAUAAUCCAGUUGGACUCGAUGUGCUGAAGCUCUCAAGAGAAUUAGGAAUCAUUAGUUACCCCAAUACUUGUGCUGGUGGGAGGCAACAGGUGCAAUUGAGGAGGGGUGGCAAAUGGGCUGUAUUUGGGCUGAUCAAGAUCGGCUAAUUCAUUAAAUGAGUCAUUGUCCAACCCUGCCCAAAGUUCACUUGGGUUUGUCCAACCCUGCCCAAAGUUCACUUGGGUUAAGAAGGGAUGUGUCAAGAUGGGCUAAACAAUGAGUUGUAACCUAAUUCGCCCAAAUUGACCCAAAUAUUUGUAAUAUUCUCAACUUUUAAACAUAUAAAAUAUAG
Molecule: non-coding RNA, 667 nt
Organism: Nicotiana tabacum (common tobacco)
Lineage: Eukaryota; Viridiplantae; Streptophyta; Magnoliopsida; Solanales; Solanaceae
Source: RefSeq, a predicted model, not a curated record